UACGGAGGGGGCGAGCGUUAUUCGGAAUUAUUGGGCGUAAAGGGCGCGUAGGCGGCCCGGUAAGUCAAAGGUGAAAUCCCUCGGCUCAACUGAGGAACUGCCUUUGAAACUGUCGGGCUUGAGGCCGGGAGGGGGUAGCGGAAUUCCCAGUGUAGCGGUGAAAUGCGUAGAUAUCGAGAGGAACACCUGCGGCGAAGGCGGGUUGCUGGGCUGACACUGACGCUGAUGCGCGAAAGCCAGGGGAGCGAACGGG
This 253-nucleotide ribosomal RNA is filed under the name uncultured bacterium. RNAcentral describes it as "partial 16S ribosomal RNA". It matches the Rfam family "Bacterial small subunit ribosomal RNA", at positions 524 to 776 of the family's 1533-position model. The record is from RNAcentral.